ACGGGCGAGAGACCGAUAGC
Molecule: small nuclear RNA, 20 nt
Filed under: Arabidopsis thaliana (thale cress)
Lineage: Eukaryota; Viridiplantae; Streptophyta; Magnoliopsida; Brassicales; Brassicaceae
Description: snRNA_13765
Source: RNAcentral